UGGAGCCGGAGCGGGACCCGGUGCAGGCCCUUCGGAGCGGGACCCGGUGCAGGCCCUUCGGGCCAACACCCGGCGGACCAUCAGCCGGGCUCGGGCCGGCCAGCCCCCAAAAAAAGGCCCGCGCCGGCGACCCGCAGACGCCCCGCCCCUGGCGCCGCGCAACCGAACGUACUGCAACGUCGGGCGCUGCACCGGGGAGGUGCAGCAUUAUGGCAUUCACCGGCACUUCGAGGACUGUCACAAGGACAUCCAGGACAUCGCGGGCGCUGUCCGGGCCCUGAGGCGGGCGCAGCAUCCCCGGCGGGCUCCCAGGCGGCCAGUGUACCGGUGCCCGGAGUGCGCGGCGGAGGUUCAGGACUUCCGCCGCCACUUCGCCAACCACUUCGCGAGGACGUCGGCUGAGUUCCUGCGGGCUGACGCCAACAAGGAGGUCGUCGCUCGGCCUGCUGCAUUCUAAUCAGUACAAUCAGUAUCUCUACCUAAUCUUGUGUAAUUUUACAAUCAUGUGAUAUGUACUGUGAUAAAGAAUAAACGUUU
Long non-coding RNA from Amphibalanus amphitrite, 537 nucleotides. RefSeq lists it as uncharacterized. The record is from RefSeq and is a predicted model, not a curated record. The transcript is spliced from 3 exons. NCBI's taxonomy places the organism in Eukaryota, Metazoa, Arthropoda, Thecostraca, Balanomorpha, Balanidae.